GACGAACGCUGGCGGCGUGCUUAACACAUGCAAGUCGAACGAUGAAGAAGAGAAACGCGAACUUCGGUUCAAAUUUCACUUCGGAUUAGUGGCAGACGGGUGAGUAACGCGUGAGCAACCUACCUCUUACAAAGGGAUAGCCUCGGGAAACCGUGAUUAAUACCAUAUGACACAUUCAUAAGGCAUCUUAAGAAUGUUAAAGCUACGGCGGUAAGAGAUGGGCUCGCGUCCCAUUAACUAGUUGGUGAGGUAACGGCCCACCAAGGCGACGAUGGGUAACCGGCCUGAGAGGGUGAACGGUCACAUUGGAACUGAGACACGGUCCAAACUCCUACGGGAGGCAGCAGUGGGGAAUAUUGCACAAUGGAGGGAACUCUGAUGCAGCGACGCCGCGUGAGCGAUGAAGGAAUUCGUUUCGUAAAGCUCUGUUCUAUGGGAAGAAAAGGACUGUACCAUAGGAGAAAGCCCCGGCUAAAUACGUG
Molecule: ribosomal RNA, 482 nt
Filed under: uncultured bacterium
Lineage: Bacteria
Description: partial 16S ribosomal RNA
Rfam family: Bacterial small subunit ribosomal RNA
Source: RNAcentral